UCUAUUUAAUUCUGUGACCCUACUGGUUGUUUGAAACAUCAUUCACCAGUCUUGUUUUCCACCAUCACCCCUCUCCCUCAGCCAGCCAUCACCUUUUCUGAACAACUUACCUACCUCGCAGUCUGUGUGCUGCGUUUGGGUGCAAACUAACUCAACGUAUCCUCUUACAACGAUCUUCAAGGCUGAUGUCGGAGACAAAGUCAAUGUUUUCAUACCCAUUCUGCACCAGAACCUGGUAGUACUGACUGAGACCCAGGGUGUCGUCUGUUCAGGUGCAACACGGCCAGCCCGGCGGACGCCUCACUGUGCCCACUGAACCCACCCGUGUAGAUGCCUUUCUCUCAAACCAAAGCACUGGUUGAGAGGAAACAGGGGAGCAACAGAAAGAGGAUGCUCCAGAGUGAACCAAUCUGCCAUCCAAGAACUCACUUUCCCAUCAUCCUCUUCUGCCUUCCGCUCAAAGGACCUCUGCUCAUGAACUGUGCAACUGGAGGAGCCUAUGGGUGGAGGUGGAAAGGUGAGACAAGGGAGAGAAACAAGAGGGGAGAGAAUAACAUAUAUUAUUUAUGAGCAGUAAAGUACACUUUUGUUAUUUUACUCUUUUGUAGUUUUGUAAUUAC
Molecule: long non-coding RNA, 620 nt
Organism: Anoplopoma fimbria (sablefish)
Lineage: Eukaryota; Metazoa; Chordata; Actinopteri; Perciformes; Anoplopomatidae
Exons: 3
Source: RefSeq, a predicted model, not a curated record